GUGUUUGCUUCAGUAACACGUAUAUUAAAUAACUGGAAUAAUACUGAGAAGAUUAGCAUGGCCCCUGCCCAAGGAAGACACACAAAUCUGUGAAGCCUUCCAUAUUUUU
This is a small nuclear RNA of Capra hircus (goat), 109 nucleotides long. NCBI's taxonomy places the organism in Eukaryota, Metazoa, Chordata, Mammalia, Artiodactyla, Bovidae. The record is from Ensembl.